Long non-coding RNA from Marmota monax (woodchuck), 353 nucleotides. RefSeq lists it as uncharacterized. The transcript has 2 exons. The record is from RefSeq and is a predicted model, not a curated record. NCBI's taxonomy places the organism in Eukaryota, Metazoa, Chordata, Mammalia, Rodentia, Sciuridae.
UUCAACACCGAGGAAGGUGCAUCUGCAAUGGUGCGACGUGUGUCCAAGUCCCUGGUUUCUGUGAAGGCCUGGGUGCAAUCCUGUGUGCAAUGUUCCAAACUCAGGAGCUAUGCACAUCCACUGCUGUGAUCUGCCAGCCCAGGGACCUGAUGAGACAGGCUGUGACUCAGCUAUGGCUCUCUGAUCCUCCUCAUUGUGCUGGAGAAAUGGAAUACCUACUGAGAACUCUCUUUUGGAGUCCUUCUCCCAUUAAACAUUUGACAUUGGCAACUGCAAACAAAGAAGCCAUCAGACCUGUGUAAAGCAUCUGACUGUCGACCUCGAUCUUCACAUUAAAUUUGGCUCUUAUUUAC